This 253-nucleotide ribosomal RNA is filed under the name uncultured bacterium. RNAcentral describes it as "partial 16S ribosomal RNA". It matches the Rfam family "Bacterial small subunit ribosomal RNA", at positions 524 to 776 of the family's 1533-position model. The record is from RNAcentral.
UACGUAGGGGGCAAGCGUUGUCCGGAUUUAUUGGGCGUAAAGAGCGUGUAGGCGGCCAGGUAGGUCUGCUGUGAAAACUCGAGGCUUAACCUCGAGAUGUCGGCGGAAACCAUCUGGCUAGAGUCCGGAAGAGGAGAGUGGAAUUCCUGGUGUAGCGGUGAAAUGCGCAGAUAUCAGGAAGAACACCCGUGGCGAAGGCGGCUCUCUGGGACGGUACUGACGCUGAGACGCGAAAGCGUGGGUAGCAAACAGG